GUGCCAGCAGCCGCGGUAAUACGGAGGGGGCUAGCGUUGUUCGGAAUUACUGGGCGUAAAGCGCACGUAGGCGGAUCGGAAAGUUGGGGGUGAAAUCACCGGGGCUCAACCCCGGAACGGCCUUCAAAACUACUGGUCUUGAGUUCGAGAGAGGUGAGUGGAAUUCCGAGUGUAGAGGUGAAAUUCGUAGAUAUUCGGAGGAACACCAGUGGCGAAGGCGGCUCACUGGCUCGAUACUGACGCUGAGGUGCGAAAGCGUGGGGAGCAAACAGGAUUAGAUA
Molecule: ribosomal RNA, 281 nt
Filed under: uncultured Rhodobacterales bacterium
Lineage: Bacteria; Pseudomonadati; Pseudomonadota; Alphaproteobacteria; Rhodobacterales
Description: partial 16S ribosomal RNA
Rfam family: Bacterial small subunit ribosomal RNA
Source: RNAcentral